RNAcentral lists this ribosomal RNA (253 nucleotides) under uncultured bacterium. RNAcentral's name for it is "partial 16S ribosomal RNA". It matches the Rfam family "Bacterial small subunit ribosomal RNA", at positions 524 to 776 of the family's 1533-position model. The record is from RNAcentral.
UACGUAGGGCGCAAGCGUUAUCCGGAAUUAUUGGGCGUAAAGAGCUCGUAGGCGGUUUGUCGCGUCGAAUGUGAAAACCCGGGGCUCAACCCCGGGCCUGCAUUCGAUACGGGCAGACUAGAGUUCGGUAGGGGAGUCUGGAAUUCCUGGUGUAGCGGUGAAAUGCGCAGAUAUCAGGAGGAGCACCGGUGGCGAAGGCGGGACUCUGGGCCGAUACUGACGCUGAGGAGCGAAAGCGUGGGGAGCGAACAGG